Molecule: ribosomal RNA, 266 nt
Filed under: uncultured bacterium
Lineage: Bacteria
Description: partial 16S ribosomal RNA
Rfam family: Bacterial small subunit ribosomal RNA
Source: RNAcentral
UGACUGAGCGGCGGACGGGUGAGUAACGCGUGGGCAACCUGCCUUACACAGGGGGAUAACAGUUAGAAAUGACUGCUAAUACCGCAUAAGACCACGGUACUGCAUGGUACAGUGGUAAAAACUCCGGUGGUGUAAGAUGGGCCCGCGUCUGAUUAGGUAGUUGGCGGGGUAACGGCCCACCAAGCCGACGAUCAGUAGCCGACCUGAGAGGGUGACCGGCCACAUUGGGACUGAGACACGGCCCAGACUCCUACGGAAGGCAGCAG